Molecule: ribosomal RNA, 504 nt
Filed under: uncultured Actinomycetes bacterium
Lineage: Bacteria; Bacillati; Actinomycetota; Actinomycetes
Description: bacterial SSU rRNA
Rfam family: Bacterial small subunit ribosomal RNA
Source: RNAcentral
CCUGACGCAGCGACGCCGCGUGAGGGAUGAAGGCCUUCGGGUUGUAAACCUCUUUCAGCAGGGACGAAGCGAGAGUGACGGUACCUGCAGAAGAAGCACCGGCCAACUACGUGCCAGCAGCCGCGGUAAUACGUAGGGUGCAAGCGUUGUCCGGAAUUAUUGGGCGUAAAGAGCUCGUAGGCGGUCUGUCGCGUCGGCUGUGAAAACUCGGGGCUCAACCCCGAGCCUGCAGUCGAUACGGGCAGACUAGAGUGCUGUAGGGGAGACUGGAAUUCCUGGUGUAGCGGUGAAAUGCGCAGAUAUCAGGAGGAACACCGGCGGCGAAGGCGGGUCUCUGGGCAGUAACUGACGCUGAGGAGCGAAAGCGUGGGGAGCAAACAGGAUUAGAUACCCUGGUAGUCCACGCCGUAAACGGUGGGUGCUAGGUGUGAGCGGUAUUCCACGCCGUUCGUGCCGCAGCUAACGCAUUAAGCACCCCGCCUGGGGAGUACGGCCGCAAGGCUA